This 103-nucleotide microRNA precursor is filed under the name Manduca sexta (tobacco hornworm). Its description in RNAcentral is "microRNA mse-mir-12 precursor". Its record names the gene mse-mir-12. Lineage: Eukaryota; Metazoa; Arthropoda; Insecta; Lepidoptera; Sphingidae. The record is from miRBase by way of RNAcentral.
UUGUCACGUUCAUCGUACAGUAGAAGAGUAGAGAUUUGAAGACGUCGUUAAUGCCGCACCGUCUCUGAGUAUUACUUCAGGUACUGGUUGUAUUGUGGAAACG